ACUCCUACGGGAGGCAGCAGUGAGGAAUAUUGGACAAUGGGCGAGAGCCUGAUCCAGCCAUGCCGCGUGCAGGAAGACUGCCCUAUGGGUUGUAAACUGCUUUUAUACGGGAAGAAACACCCCCUCGUGAGGGGGCUUGACGGUACCGUACGAAUAAGGAUCGGCUAACUCCGUGCCAGCAGCCGCGGUAAUACGGAGGAUCCAAGCGUUAUCCGGAAUCAUUGGGUUUAAAGGGUCCGUAGGCGGGCGUCUAAGUCAGUGGUGAAAUUCUGCAGCUCAACUGUAGAACUGCCAUUGAUACUGGUCGUCUUGAAUCGUUGUGAAGUGGCUAGAAUAUGUAGUGUAGCGGUGAAAUGCUUAGAUAUUACAUAGAAUACCGAUUGCGAAGGCAGGUCACUAACAACGUAUUGACGCUGAUGGACGAAAGCGUGGGGAGCGAACGGGAUUAGAUACCCUGGUAGUC
This 463-nucleotide ribosomal RNA is filed under the name uncultured bacterium. Its description in RNAcentral is "bacterial SSU rRNA". It matches the Rfam family "Bacterial small subunit ribosomal RNA", at positions 335 to 795 of the family's 1533-position model. The record is from RNAcentral.